GGUUACUGCUAUCGGUGUUCGCCUAAGCCAUGCGAGUCAUAUGUUCUUCGGAACAUGGCGUACUGCUCAGUAACACGUGGAUAACCUGCCCUUGGGUCCGGCAUAACCCCGGGAAACUGGGGAUAAUUCCGGAUAACGCACAUAUGCUGGAAUGCUUUAUGCGUCAAAUGGAUUCGUCCGCCCAAGGAUGGGUCUGCGGCCUAUCAGGUAGUAGUGGGUGUAAUGUACCUACUAGCCUACGACGGGUACGGGUUGUGAGAGCAAGAGCCCGGAGAUGGAUUCUGAGACAUGAAUCCAGGCCCUACGGGGCGCAGCAGGCGCGAAAACUUUACAAUGCGGGAAACCGUGAUAAGGGGACACCGAGUGCCAGCAUCAUAUGCUGGCUGUCCGGGUGUGUAAAAUACACCUGUUAGCAAGGGCCGGGCAAGACCGGUGCCAGCCGCCGCGGUAACACCGGCGGCCCGAGUGGUGAUCGUGAUUAUUGGGUCUAAAGGGUCCGUAGCCGGUUUGGUCAGUCCUCCGGGAAAUCUGACGGCUUAACCGUUAGGCUUUCGGGGGAUACUGCCAGACUUGGAACCGGGAGAGGUAAGAGGUACUACAGGGGUAGGAGUGAAAUCUUGUAAUCCCUGUGGGACCACCUGUGGCGAAGGCGUCUUACCAGAACGGGUUCGACGGUGAGGGACGAAAGCUGGGGGCACGAACCGGAUUAGAUACCCGGGUAGUCCUAGCCGUAAACGAUGCUCGCUAGGUGUCAGGCAUGGCGCGACCGUGUCUGGUGCCGCAGGGAAGCCGUGAAGCGAGCCACCUGGGACUACGGCCGCAAGGUUAAAACUCAA
This 836-nucleotide ribosomal RNA is filed under the name uncultured archaeon. Its description in RNAcentral is "bacterial SSU rRNA". It matches the Rfam family "Archaeal small subunit ribosomal RNA", at positions 21 to 859 of the family's 1478-position model. The record is from RNAcentral.